Molecule: ribosomal RNA, 209 nt
Filed under: uncultured bacterium
Lineage: Bacteria
Description: partial 16S ribosomal RNA
Rfam family: Bacterial small subunit ribosomal RNA
Source: RNAcentral
UACGAAGGGGGCUAGCGUUGUUCGGAAUUACUGGGCGUAAAGCGCGCGCAGGCGGCUAUCCAAGUCAGUGGUGAAAGCCCGGAGCUCAACUCCGGAACUGCCAUUGAAACUGUUUAGCUUGAGGACGAGAGAGGUGAGUGGAAUUCCCAGUGUAGAGGUGAAAUUCGUAGAUAUUGGGAAGAACACCGGGUGGCGAAGGCGGCUCACUG